CUCGCCGCUGGGAACCUGCAGCUCACUCAGCAACCGCUGUCCCUGGGACUCUCUACAGUGGAGCGCCCAGGGACCCUUUCAAGGGCGCCCCUAACACUGAGCUGCAAGGCAGGGGGUUAAAGGGGAAGCAGAGGUGCAGCGUGCAGGGAAGAAGGAGUUAGGGCGGAACUCAGCUGUGAGAACACAGCAGGUGGAGGCCACGGGGCCAGCACACGAGAGGCGCUGCCCUUUCCCCAGGGAAGACAGGCGAGGGGACAAGACCAGCAAGGGUGAGUCCGCUCCCCACUGCAGGGUCCGUGGUGGACCCCAUUUCGUCUCAAGGCCUGCCUCUGGGAGCCAUUCCGGUCUCCAAGCCUCCGCUGGGAGCGAAUUCUAAGAAUUGGCCAAAGGAAAAGCCCUGCAAAGGCUCGUAGCGUCCCAAGUCCUCGAGAGGAAUGCCUCAUUUCAACAUCUCAGCAAGUCUGGGAGGCCAUCCUCACCAUUUCAUAGGUGGGGCCGGUAAGGCGCGGGAAGGUGAGGUCACUUGCUGAAGUCUCACAACGGCGCGGGAGAGCAGGGAGAGCAGGUUCCUUGAGCGAGGGAAUGUUCCAGGGGGGUGGGAGGGAAGGGACAGCUGCAAGGACUGCCCAGGUGGCCAGGGUACCCGCAGCGCGGAUAUGCCGAGAAGGCGCGCCCGCCAAGCCGCGGCGCAGCCCACGACGUCCAGCCUUACCACUCUGGAACCACCACCCCGGUCCCUCAGAGACAGAGGAAGGAUGCGAGGGGAAGUCUAGGCUCAUCUUGGCACUGCUUCCCCCAACUGCCAGGGAAGAGAGGCUUGAGCAGGCACCUGUCAUCUGUCUGCCAUAGCUCCAUCAAAGAGUAAUGUCUGGCCUGACCCCAAUGCCCAUCCAGGAUGACUGGAGGUGCUGCCCCAAGCACCAUCCUCUCCGAGUGCUCGGGGCUUCCCAAGAAUGUAACUAUGGUCGCAUAGCAAAAGUGAGCAAGGCUGCAGUGCAGCAGCCCAGAGAAAACACAACUGAACCUCAUCAAUCAAUUUCCAUCCCACCACCUUGACUUGACUGCAGGCUGCCUGGGAACCCCACACUUCUCCUCUCUUUCCAGAAGAAGCGGUCUCAGCGGAGUUGUUUCCUAACGUAGCACAUUUGUUGCAGACAGCUACAGAGAGCAAAAAUAUGCUAUGGGCCAUCCACUUAAAGGAAACAGGCACGGGUAUUGCUCAACCUGCCGAGUUCAGCCCUGGCUCAUGAACUCAGUUCCAUGCACUGCGUCUGCACUGGGGAUCCAUGUGCAGAGGGGCCAGAUCAAAACCCCGGACUCUGAAUACAUGGUCAGUGCACGAGAAAUGACUUCUCCCUACCAAUCGCCCUUCCUUACUCUUUCCUAUUCCCUGCUCCCCAAAUGCCUUCUAGUCUUGGCCGCAUUAAAUCUGUGAUUCUAGGCUGGGCGUGGUGGCUCACGCCUGCAAUCCCAGCACUUUGGGAGGCCGAGAUGGGCAGACCAGCUGAGGUCAGGAGUUUGAGACCAACCUGGCCAACAUGGUGAAACUCCGUCUCUACUAAAAAUACAAAAAUUAGCCAGGCAUGGUGGCAGGCAUCCAUAAUCCCAGCUUCUUGGGAGGCUGAGGCAGGAGAAUUGCUUGAACCUGGAAGACGGAGGUUGCAGUGAGCGAAGAUCGCACCACUGUACUCCAGCCUGGGCGACAAAGCGAGACUCUGUCUCAAAAAAUAAAAAUAAAUAAAUCUGCAAUUCUAACAUCCCCCACUCACUUCAUCCCACCCCAGCCCUCAUCCUCAGGGAAUCUUCUCUGUUCCUCUGAGAGAGUAAAAAUACUAAGGGUGGAGAGGAUUGGCCAGAGCCUCGGGGAAGGCCAGACCCCGUACUGACCCCCUCCUCAGGUGCUCCCUCAGCAACCUCUAACGUCAACAUCUCCUCUUCAUGGAACAGAUGAGACAACUGAGGCUCCGAGAGGUGAAGUCCUGUGUCUGGACUGGGCUGUGUGUUGGCGUGUGCCUUCCCACAAAUCCUGUGACCCACCUCACCACUCCAUGCUGCCCCAGAAACAUGGGGCAAUGAUUUGUACAGGAAUCCCAGCAAGCAGAGCUUCUUCUAGAACUAACCAGGAGCUCGGUGUCUUCCUCAGACACUCAUAGUCCUCUCGAGCAAUUCCCCAGGCUGGACUCUGACUCAAGCUUCAGACAUUAAGCACCUUUGAAAGGCUGGAAAGUCACAGUCUACUCAUAUGUCACCAGAAGGCCUGGGCAAAAAAAGGAGGAAAAAUUAAAGAAUUAAGCGAGGGCCUGGAAAACAAGGCUAGCAGGAAGUCGGAGGAACUGACAAACAACUGGGAAGAUGAAGCUACCGAGGAUGGGCUGCAGGAGCCAAGAAGUUAGAAUCUGCAAGCCUGCGCCGAGUGCUCCAGUCAGCCAGCACUAGAUGAUUUACUGCUGAAUCCAGCCCCUCUAUGGACCAGCCUCCAAGUCACAUGGACCGUAAGGAAUGGUUUGAGACCAUCCCAAGAAAUAUUUGGGCAGCUCAAGAGAUGCAGAAACUGUUGCCCAUCCCCAUGUUUCAAGAACAAACAAGUAAAAGCUAAACCAGGGCCAAGCGCUCUGAGACUCGCUCCCCGCCACCCAGCCCUAGCCCAGUGUCCCCUGGACAGGGCUCAUGCCCUGCUGAGCCCCUGAUGCUGAAGUCAGGGGAGAAGGAGCCCGCCUCAUUGGCAGGGGUCAUUCCUCACUGUUCAGGCAGUAAACUAAGCCUUCUUGUCAUUUAUGGCUAUUUUGUCACCUUUACCAUUGUCAUCAGUGGCUGGCAAGAAUAUCCACGUGAGUUGAAGUUUACUGUCUGUCCUUUUAUUCUUCUGUCCUCUUUCUCUAUCUCAUAAUUAAAAAUUCCAUUUAACUGUUUUGUGUAUUUUGGCAGACACUGUUGGCUUCCUAUCCUAAAUUCUUCCCUACCUUCUUCCUGGAAAGCCUGGCUUUCCCUCUGGCUUUCUGGUUCAGGUGACUAUUCUUCCUCCACACAACUUGAGGAAGGGUAACCCUUUUCUCUCCCCAAAGGAAACCCUGAUGGACUAGGUCACCCUGUAAUCCCAUUCCCCUUGCCAGUGACUGGGCUGGGAAUGGGCAUUUGAUGCAAUUUUGGCCAACGGGCCAUGAAAGAGUGUGUACUCAUGUGUCUUCAAGAGACACAAAAGAACCAGGUCAGAGGACUUCUACUGCCUGCAAGUCUUGAAGUCUUAUUCCAAAGCAACAGUAAUUAAGACAGCAUGGGAAAGGCAAGAGGAAAGACAAAUAAGUCAAUAGAACAGGACAGAGUCCAGAAAUAGAUCUAUACAUAGAUAACCAAUUGACUUUUUUUUUAAAUUUUUGUGGGUACAUAGUAGGUGUAUAUAUUUAUGGGGUACAUGAGAUGUUUUGAUACAAGCAUGCAAUACGUAAUAAUCACAUCAUGGAAAAUGGAGUAUCCAUCCCCUCAAGCUUCAAGCAUUUAUCUUUUGUGUUACAAACAAUCCAAUUAUACUUUUAGUUAUUUUUGAAUAUACAGCUAUUAUUGACUACAGCCACCCUGUUGUGCUAUCAAAUACUACAGCCAAUUGAUUUUUUUUUUUUUUUUUUGAGAUGGAGUCUCACUCUGUUGCCCAGGCUGGAGUGCAGUGGCAUGAUCGCAGCUCAUUGCAACCUCUGCUUCCAGGGUUCAAGUGAUUCUCCUGCCUCAGCCUCCUGAGUAGCUGGGAUUACAGGUUCCUGCCACAUGCCCAGCUAAUUUUGUAUUUUUAGUGGAGACGGGGUUUCACCACGUUGGCCAGGCUGGUCUUGAACUCCUAACCUCAGGUGAUCCACCCACCUCAGCCUCCCAAAGUACUGCAAUUACAAGCGUGAGCCACCGUGCCUGGCCCAGCCAAUUGAUUUUUGAGGAAAGUGCCAAGGAGGAAAGGAAAGUCUUUUUCAACGAAUGGUGUUGAAUAUCUGUAUGGUAAAACAAUGAACCUGGGUCCCUGCCUCACACCAGACACAAAGACUAAUUGCAGAUGAUUUACAGGUCUCCAUGGAAAAGUGAAACUAGAAGGCAUCUAGGAAAAAAAAAAAAAAGACACAAGGAAGAAAGAAGUGGAGCCCCUCUUCUUCCACUUAGUGAUGUGAUGUCUGCAUAGGAGGGGAGGAACUGUACAGCCAUCCUGGAACCAUGAGGACACAGCCCAUGGACAGCAUGGAAAGAGAAACGAGCUUCAGAGUUGCCCUCCGUGUGGCUUUCUUGCUAUGUGAAAUGAUGCAUUUUCCUUCAUUGUUAAGCUAACUGCAUUGCAUUCUCCAUUACUUGCAGCCAAAAGCAUUCCCACUGAGACAUGCCUGUCCUUUUGUUUUUCCCUCCUAUGGUGUAGGGUUUUGCAUAACUAUUUACGUUCAGGCAAUAAACACAAAACCAUGAACAUUGACCUUCAUGUGGAAUUUAAGGAUUGCUAAACUUUUUUCUGUACCUAGAUUUCUCCUGUGUUGAUUUUGGAAUCCAACUCCUGGGGCAGGCGCUGAGGCACCCUGAGGAAAGGGCUGUGAUUGUCCAGUGCCAAAAGUGACCCACAAAGCAAAGUGUCUCCAAAGGACAGAGACCACAAUUGACUCAUUCUCAUUCAUACCCUUGAACCCAAGUACAGCAUCUGGAACACAGCAGGAGCUCAAUAAAUAAGUGUUGUAUGAAUGGAUGGAUAGAACAAGAAAAGUCCAGGCCCUUUCAUUCAUUGUAUUAUAAGCUUGCAAGCUUAAUUAGUACAAUUAAAAUACAUAAGCAAUAUCUUAGUUUCUUUAAUAAUUCCCCUUAAUUUACACGCUCUCUUUAUUUGAGUAAGUUCCCCAGGUGUUUGAAGAAUGUUAUUAGAAUUGGACAGUCCCUGUGUUGGAGACAGGGCCAUUGAAGCUGGUAUUUCUUCUCCCUUCCCUUCCUUCCUCCCUUCCUUUCUUUUUUUUUUUCUCCAAGAUGGGGUCUUGUUCUGUCCCCAGGGUGGAGUGCUGUUGCAUGAUCAUGGCUCACUGCAGCCUCAACCUCCUAGGCUUAAGCGAUCCUCCUGCCUCAGCCUCCUAAGUAGCUGGGACACACCAC
Molecule: long non-coding RNA, 5097 nt
Filed under: Homo sapiens (human)
Lineage: Eukaryota; Metazoa; Chordata; Mammalia; Primates; Hominidae
Description: HSALNT0156102
Source: RNAcentral